RNAcentral lists this ribosomal RNA (518 nucleotides) under uncultured bacterium. RNAcentral describes it as "bacterial SSU rRNA". It matches the Rfam family "Bacterial small subunit ribosomal RNA", at positions 349 to 858 of the family's 1533-position model. The record is from RNAcentral.
GAGCAGUGGGGAAUUUUGGACAAUGGGCGCAAGCCUGAUCCAGCCAUGCCGCGUGAGUGAAGAAGGCCUUCGGGUUGUAAAGCUCUUUCAGUCGGGAAGAAAAGGCGCCCUCUAACAUAGGGCGUUGCUGACGGUACCGACAGAAGAAGCACCGGCUAACUACGUGCCAGCAGCCGCGGUAAUACGUAGGGUGCGAGCGUUAAUCGGAAUUACUGGGCGUAAAGCGUGCGCAGGCGGUUCGCUAAGACAGGUGUGAAAUCCCCGGGCUUAACCUGGGAACUGCGCUUGUGACUGGCGGGCUAGAGUACGGCAGAGGGGGGUGGAAUUCCACGUGUAGCAGUGAAAUGCGUAGAUAUGUGGAGGAACACCGAUGGCGAAGGCAGCCCCCUGGGCCUGUACUGACGCUCAUGCACGAAAGCGUGGGGAGCAAACAGGAUUAGAUACCCUGGUAGUCCACGCCCUAAACGAUGUCAACUAGUCGUUCGGAGCGGUAACGCACUGAGUGACGCAGCUAACGC